RNAcentral lists this transfer RNA (74 nucleotides) under Streptomyces mutabilis. The record is from RNAcentral. Lineage: Bacteria; Bacillati; Actinomycetota; Actinomycetes; Kitasatosporales; Streptomycetaceae.
UGAGCAGCACGCAGCCGAAGCCGAAGAGGGAGGAGACCAGCACCGCGAUCCGCGGCACCCCGCCCGACACCCGG